AAGGCGAGAUUCGAUUUUCUGCCACCGAAUACAUUAGCAUGGGAUAAUGGAAUAGGACCCUGUCCUCCUAUUUUCAGUUGGUUUUGGCAGCGCGAGGACUAGGGUAAUGAUUAAUAGGGAUAGUUGGGGGCAUUAAUAUUUAAUUGUCAGAGGUGAAAUUCUUGGAUUUAUGAAAGAUUAACUUCUGCGAAAGCAUCUGCCAAGGAUGUUUUCAUUAAUCAAGAACGAAAGUUAGGGGAUCGAAGACGAUCAGAUACCGUCGUAGUCUUAACCAUAAACGAUGCCGACCAGCGAUUAGGAGACGUUGAAUACAAAACACCACCAUCGGCGCGGUCGUCCUUGGCG
RNAcentral lists this ribosomal RNA (345 nucleotides) under Acanthamoeba sp. RNAcentral's name for it is "SSU rRNA". It matches the Rfam family "Eukaryotic small subunit ribosomal RNA", at positions 777 to 1086 of the family's 1831-position model. The record is from RNAcentral. Lineage: Eukaryota; Discosea; Longamoebia; Acanthamoebidae.